UAAUUUAAACUAACUCUUCUCUCUCUCUCUCUCUCUCUCUCUCUAUAUAGAGUAGGGUUACUGUACUCUCAUGAGUACGACCGUCUUCGUACUCAUAAGUCAUUUUCGAUGAUAGAGUUUCUGAAUCGACGAUCUAUUUCAUUAAAUAUGAUUUAGAGUAUUUGAAAUUUCUAAAAAAUAAAUUUCGUAAUUUUUCGAAAUUAUAAUAAAGUCCAUCAAGCGGGUAUAAAAUAAACGGUCAAAAUCGAAACGACAUUCUAAAAAAGAAUGAUCGGAUCCUUCAAUUUAAGACCGGAGUUAUUGAUCUUUAUCUAGACAGUGAAUAGAAUUUUCUAUCAAAAAAUCAACCGAUUCUGAUUCUUUUACACCGUUAAACUAGCAAGUAUUUUAUACCGGCCGUUAAAGAUGAUCAAUUUUGAGAUUUUUCGAUCGUAAAGUAAAUGAUGUCAAAUAAUUAUAAAUUUUAAUUUUUAAAAAUUUUAAAUAUUCUAAAUAACGUUUAACGAUAUGAAUCGUCCAUUCGGAAGCUCUAUCAUAGAAAACGAUUUAUGAGUACGAAAAUGAUUAUAUUCGUAAGAAUAUGGUAGCCAGACACUCUCUCUCUCUCUAUAUAUAUAU
Molecule: long non-coding RNA, 618 nt
Filed under: Ananas comosus (pineapple)
Lineage: Eukaryota; Viridiplantae; Streptophyta; Magnoliopsida; Poales; Bromeliaceae
Description: long non-coding RNA (ACOM_LNC030944)
Source: RNAcentral